GACGGGUGAGUAACACGUAGGUAACCUGCCCAGAARCGGGGGACAACAUUUGGAAACAGAUGCUAAUACCGCAUAACARCGUUGUUCKCAUGAACAACGCUUAAAAGAUGGCUUCUCGCUAUCACUUCUGGAUGGACCUGCGGUGCAUUAGCUUGUUGGUGGGGUAACGGCCUACCAAGGCGAUGAUGCAUAGCCGAGUUGAGAGACUGAUCGGCCACAAUGGGACUGASACACGGCCCAUACUCCUACGGGAGGCAGCAGUAGGGAAUCUUCCACAAUGGGCGCAAGCCUGAUGGAGCAACACCGCGUGAGUGAAGAAGGGUUUCGGCUCGUAAAGCUCUGUUGUUAAAGAAGAACACGUAUGAGAGUAACUGUUCAUACGUUGACGGUAUUUAACCAGAAAGUCACGGCUAACUACGUGCCAGCAGCCGCGGUAAUACGUAGGUGGCAAGCGUUAUCCGGAUUUAUUGGGCGUAAAGAGAGUGCWGGCGGUUUUCUAAGUCUGAUGUGAAAGCCUUCGGCUUAACCGGAGAAGUGCAUCGGAAACUGGAUAACUUGAGUGCAGAAGAGGGUASUGGAACUCCAUGUGUAGCGGUGGAAUGCGUAGAUAUAUGGAAGAACACCAGUGGCGAASGCGGCUACCUGGUCUGCAACUGACGCUGAGACUCGAAAGCAUGGGUAGCGAACAGGAUUAGAUACCCUGGUAGUCCAUGCCGUAAACGAUGAGUGCUAGGUGUUGGAGGGUUUCCGCCCUUCAGUGCCGGAGCUAACGCAUUAAGCACUCCGCCUGGGGAGUACGACCGCAAGGUUGAAACUCAAAGGAAUUGACGGGGGCCCGCACAAGCGGUGGAGCAUGUGGUUUAAUUCGAAGCUACGCGAAGAACCUUACCAGGUCUUGACAUCUUGCGCCAACCCUAGAGAUAGGGCGUUUCCUUCGGGAACGCAAUGAC
RNAcentral lists this ribosomal RNA (950 nucleotides) under Limosilactobacillus fermentum. RNAcentral describes it as "bacterial SSU rRNA". It matches the Rfam family "Bacterial small subunit ribosomal RNA", at positions 100 to 1035 of the family's 1533-position model. Lineage: Bacteria; Bacillati; Bacillota; Bacilli; Lactobacillales; Lactobacillaceae. The record is from RNAcentral.